Alligator mississippiensis (American alligator) is the source of this 12552-nucleotide long non-coding RNA. RefSeq lists it as uncharacterized. The transcript is spliced from 2 exons. Lineage: Eukaryota; Metazoa; Chordata; Crocodylia; Alligatoridae. The record is from RefSeq and is a predicted model, not a curated record.
AAUGUCUGUGGUAGGCUCCAGCGCUCGGUGUGUGCCCGCCAGCUGGCAUGGGUGGCUUCACCUUCACGGGGGCUCGCUUCCCAUGGUCUACCUGGCCAGGGUCCCCGCCAUACGAUUCUGAAGCUGUUUGCAAUAUUGUCAUGCCUUUGUUUUUUUGGUCCAAAUGAGUGGUUUUUUUGAGGGUGGGGGAGGCAGAAGAGGAACUAUUGAAUUGUGGUAUCGCUCAAUUUCUCAAAUCAGUCUAGGUACAUUUUUAAUGGCUGUGGAAUGCAGGUGUCCUGUUGAUGGUCGAGAUGUUAUUAAUUACAAUUCUAAACGUGUAGCAAUCGCUCGCUGUGUGGCGUUCAGUGGUUAUGAAAUAUCUCCUUUCCUCUUGUGGGACAUGAUUAGAGUCAUACAAAUUAAAUGUCGGUGGAAAGAAGAAAAACCUGACUUGCUGUAACGCUUUCCUUAAUAAUCCAUUACUGUGUAGUUAGUUCCUGGGUUCAGGGCUGAGGAUUCUUACACAAUGUCAAUUGAAAGCAAAAACACACUACAAGUUAAACCUGAAGUUAAACUGUGCAGUACUCGUUCAGUAUGUUAGUAUUUUGUGAACAGUGCAGAUUUGAAUAAUUGUAAAAAGACAAACUGGGGCAUAAAAUCACCAGCCUGAUUCUUCCCCAGCACUGUAGUUGCAGUUAAUUUUUUGAACCUCUACUUCUGUUUUGCUUGCUUGUUAUGCUUGCUACCAACUUGUCCCAUGGCUACCAGGCCAUGACUGUUUUUGCCAACUUGCCACUAUUCCAUCAUGCUUUCUGAAGGGUGGAAUAUCGCUGCUUUCUGAUCCUGCUUUCACUGCUCUUGAAUCUUAGCAGCAUUAGUUGCUGCUGAUCAGAAAUGUUGAUUUACUAGCCAUAUGCUACUUACCUAAGGAAUUACUAUGUUAUGUUAAUAGCAAUUAGUAAACCCUUAAAAAUGAACUUACUGUAUCUUGAGUGUUAGUAGUCCCGAUAACUGCAAUCUGUUGUUUGACCUAGAGAGGACAUUAACUCCUGCGUUUCUUGGGACCCUGCAGACAGUAGUGUGUAUUAGAGGAUGAAAUCCUAGAAAGAACUAAGAACAAUAAUCGGGUGUUGAACAGUUGUCUAGAACUGAUACACUUCAUGUAACAGUGAAUUAUCAGUGGAACUAUACAUAUACAAGCAUUUCUAGGAACUUGGCACACAUGUCAAAGUGCACUUGUUAAGUUUCAUAGUUGUUAGGGUCUGAAGGGACCUUAAUAGAUCAUCAAACUGGACUCCCUGCCCUGGGCAGGAAAGAGCACUGGGGUCAUAUAACCCCAGCCAGGUACUUGUCCAGUCUCCUCUUAAAGGCCCCCAAGGUAGGGGAGAGUACCACCUCCCUCAGAAGCCCAUUCCAGAUUCUGGCAACCCUUACUGUAAAGAAGUUCUUCCUGCUGUCCAAACUAAAUCUGCUUUGUCAAUUUGUGGCCGUUGUUCCUGGUUAUUCCAAGGGGUGCCCUGGUAAACGGAGCAUCUCCUAUUUCUUUGCUGCCCCCCCCCCCCCCCCCAAUUAAUUUGUAAAUGGCCACAAGAUUCCCCUCUCGGCCUUUUCUUGUGGAGGCUGGAGAGAUCGAGGUCCCUCAGUCUCUCCUCGUAGGGUAGGGCCUUACCUGCAGGCCCCUAACCAUAUGAGUGGCCCUCCUCUGGACCCUGUCCAGGUUAUCCACAUCCCUCUUGAAGUGCGGCACCCAGAACUGGGCACAGUACUCCAACUGUGGCCUGACCAAUGCGACAUAGAGGGAAAGUAUCACCUCCCUGCACCUGUUCGUGAUGCAUCUGCUAAUGCAAGAUAGAGUGCAGUUAGUUUUACUGAUUACUUUGUCACAGUGGUGGCUCAUGUUCAUCUCGGAGUCAGCUAUGACUCUGAGAUCCCUUUAUGCUGCUGUGCUGCUGAGAAGGUCCUCCCCCAACCUAUAGGUGUGUUGGUGAUUCCUUCUCCCUAGGUGCAGCUCUUUGUACUUGUCUUUGUUGAACUGCAUCCUAUUCUUUACUGCCCACUCUUCCAACUUGUCCACGUCUGACUAGAUUUGAUCCCUUCCCACUAGUGUUAGCUUUACCCCAUAACUUCGUCUUAUCCAUGAAUUUAGACAGAGUGCUCUCCACGCCCUCGUCCAAGUUGCUGAUGAACACAUUGAAUAGCACAGGUCCAAGGACCGAGCCUUGGAGGACCCCACUACCUACAUCCUUCCAAGUCAAUACCAAUCCGUCUACCACCACUCUGGGUGUGACCCUUAAGCCAAUUUGCCACCCACCUGACCAUGUAAUCAUCUGUCACGUCGCUCAGUUUGUUUAUGAGAAUAGGAUGAGAUACCAUAUCGAAGGCCUUCUUAAAAUCCAAGUAGAUGACAUGUUUCUGUGCUUGUAUAGCUCACUAUUAUGCAAAAACACACUUAUCAGGCAUUUAACCAGCAAAAUAGCCACUUUUCCCCUCCACUAGUAUAUAACCCUUUUUAACUCUUUGUUACAAUUUACUGUACAGCCUAUUGCAUUUUAUUUGCAUACAUAUCAUAAAUAUGUUUUAUUGAUUUGUACAGUAUUUCUAUCCUAUAUGUUAAAAAAAAGUUCUUGUAGCAUAUGUACAAAUGAAAAAAGAAACAGUACUUCAGAAUGGGAAAUCAGAUAAGAAGUACAGGGUCUAUUUUUACAAAUUCUUACUCAGAAGUAGUUAAGUGAAAUUAGUGCCAAUCUGAAUUUACAUGCUUGAUCCCUUAAAUAUUAUGAUUCAAGAAUGCUAUUUAAUUUAAAAUAUGGCUUUUUAAAAUAUUUGGCUGAAAGGGACUUUAAAUACUACAACAAGACAUCAGAGAGAAUCCCAAAUGCAUCUUCAAAAUCGUGACUGUGUAAACAAAACAAGUUAGUUCGGCAGCGCUAAGUUCUGAGUACUUGGGGUUGCAAUAAUUCUGAGGGAGGUUUGUUGUUUUGCAUAUAGCACACUCCUGUGUAUAAUACUCGCCUGUUAUUUUGAAGGGGAGCCUGCAGGGGGGGAAAAGAGUCUUUUAUUAAGGUAAGUGAAUCUGUAGCUACACACCAGGUUUGACCCUGUGCUCUGCCUCUGGGACCGCGUGCUGAGCCUGAGACCAUGUCCUAUGUUGGACCCCAUGUAUUGCCUCCAGGUCUACAUGCCGAGCUUGGGAUGGUGCGUUGUGUUCAGGAUGGACCCAGCACAUGGCUCUAGAGCCAGUGCAAAGUCCAAGGUUUGGUGGAUAGCCCCAAGGCAGCACAAUGGGUCAGACCCAGCAUAUGGCUCUGGAGCCAGCACACGGCUCCAAAUCUGGCAUGCAGUCUCAGACUUGGUGUAUGGGGUCAGACCUGGCAUUCCCGGUCCCAAGCCAUGUGCUAGAUUGGACCUAGUGUGCUGAGUCUGGCCAUGUGCUAAUCUCGUGCUCCAGACCAAUCCAGCAUGGUUGUGGGGGGGGAGCUUGCUGUUGGUCCCAAAACUUGGAGAUGAAAAGUGUGGGGAGGGAGCCUCCCCACUACCCCCUCCCCAUCCUGAUUAUCAAAUUUCCAGAUUGGUAGAGAUCCCUUUUUCUUGCCUAAAAUGCAUACCCCAAUUUUUCCCCAACUGGUUUUAGGGGGAAAAAUGCAAGAAAAUGGGUUAUAUGCGAGAAAAUGGAAUAUAACUAACUUUUUAGAUUCUUAAAUUGGUGUAGCUCUUGUGUAACACAUAGUCAAAGCAAAAAUACUUGUAAUAUAUUCAGAGCUCUAGUAAAUAUCUUAUUAGGUGGAAUUCAUGAAUGGCUAACUGAUAUAGAUUCAUAAAGAAAUAUUGAGUUGCUCUUAGAAAAUAAGUUAUUUUUCCAUAUGAAUAGCCUGUAUAAAAGUAUUGUUUUGUGACUGCAUGUGUUAAUAUGAAUUGAAAGAUAUCACAUUUUUGCAGCCACACUAGCUUGUUUGAUAUCUAAAAAUGCAAAUAUGAAAUUAUGAACUUGCUUCCAUAUUUCUUUUUCUCUUUCAGUGUUAAAAAAGAACUCUUGGGGAUGCAUUUGGCUCCAAAUUUAAGUGUAUUUGUAGUUUGAUUUUUGUGAAAGUUUCCUAAAUGAACAAAGACCAGCAGUAUAACUUAAGUCCAGUGGAAUUAAAAAAACAAAAUAAAAAACCUUGAAAUAACCUAACAUAGUGUUUGGAAGUCCAGGUUGUGUGAUACUUCUUGUGUAGGGGUUCUCAAAAUCCUGGAUGGUCAACAGGCAACCCAGCUCACAUGCUUCACACUCAUCUUCCUUAAAUUUCUGCAGAAUUAAACACUGCUUAAUUUACUCUCUUAACUUACUGCAUGAAACCUUAGUUAGUAAGCAGUUGCUUUAGUUAGUAGAUGCCUAUUAUGCAAUCUGAGAUGAGAAGGGAAGUGUUUAUCUUAAUCUUAGGAAAAGUGGCUGAGUCAAUUUAUGAAUUUCUGUUUCAUGCUAUUGAAACACUUGAGAAAACAAAAAUGUAAAAUUAAAAUGGACUGGUAACUGACUUAACAACAUUUCCAUGCUCUAAGUUGGUUUAAAAUUCUUAAAGUGGUGGAAAAAGUGUGAUUACCUAAAAAGAUUUUAUCUUCUUAAAAAACAAACCAAAAACUAUUACUCUUUAAUUUGUUAGCUGUUAGGUUAUCAAGUGAAGAUGCAAUUGUAUGGACUAUUGACAAGCGAGUAAGUAUCAGUGCAGCUGGGUACUGCUGUUUUAACUCUAGAAGUCUUGAGUACAGUUUUAGUUUCUUUUUCUUUUAAAACUUACUCCAUUGGUUAGAUUUAAAAACUUGAAAAUCACACUGCCUUUAAAAUAUUGUACUUCAUUCUAGUUAUAAAUAACACUUAAUCACUACUAAAGAAAGCUGGUUUUUUGAGGCUGUUUAUUUUGAACAUAAAGCAUUAUCAAAUGGAUGGUCAAUUUCAGUUCCUGUUUUGUGCAUUAACAUGGCAUCAGUCUUGUGCUCUGGGGUGAACUUCUGGGCAGAGUCUUCUCCUGAUACUGUGAUAGAAGCUCUGCUGUUCCAAACAAAUAUUUUAUUUUUUAAUUUUGAGGCAAGAAAAUGGUGGGUAUUGAUCCAUUCAUUUUCUAUCCCCAAAACCUGUGACUGAAAGGCAAUUUCUGGGUCAUCAAGCCUAGACCCCUGCUGUCAAAGGCAACCAAAUCAUAUAAUCCCUUCCUUUCAUAAAUAGGUCACGGAUGGAACUGGAACAUAGGGGCAGAGGAACCCUGCAUGCAGUUGAGGGACAGUGAGGUGUUCAUGUAUUCUCUUAAAUUCCCCUGGAAGUCCUGUGUAGCAGUUAAGAAGUCAGGACACCUUGUUUCAGUUUUUCUAAAGAGAUGGGUAGGUCUGAGAUGUGAAAGAAAGGGUAUGCCCAGGUAUGUUUGUUGUGAACAAUAGCAACACUAAAGAAACUUUUGACUUUUAACAAGGACCAAUAGUUCAAAGGGUGUUCUGGGCAAUGGAAUAGCUGAUAGAUUAUGUGCCAACAUUUUGUUACUGGUUUUCAGGAAAACAGAGUUACGAGACAUACAAUUAAAGCAUAGCCUUUAUUGUUUCAAGUUCUUUUUGGACUCUUAACUAUAGCACUGCCUCAGUUCACACUUAAAUCAUGUUCUUAACAUUUUUUGCGAUUUUAAAUGCAGAAAUGUAGAUUCUGAAACAUGAUUUACUGACAGCAAAUUACAUGAUCCUCAAAUCAUAGGUUACACAUAGUUUUAUAUGCUGACCGAAGUAGCGCUAGAUAGGAGUUCUCAGCAACCUCUAGUUAAGUACGCUCUCUUUACUAAACUACCUUCUGUAUUACUUUCUCUAUGAUGAAUCUACUCUAAUCCUAUGCAUUUUACAAAGUCAAUGGUAAUUUUUAAAUGCUACAGAUUUAGUUGGACUGAAAAUAACAAAAAUGAAGUCAGUAUCUGGAGAGAGGCUUUUUGAAUUUAAUUUUUGAUUUAUCACUUGUAUGUCAUUGACUUAGUUUCCUCAGACUUCACUUUAAACAUUUCAAGUUUGGGGGUAAUUUCUUGGCUUCCCAUUAUGACCUGCAUUGCCUUGGGUUAGGGUUACUGUUCUGAGCACUUUAAAACAAUCUAGCUCUGUGGCUUUACUCUUGAAGCAUUUGUUCAAAUAUUAUAAUAAUCUUACUGUCAGGCUUGCCAUCUAUACAGUGCUUCAGGGAGACUUCCAGUUUCAAUCCCUGCCUUCAGGAAUUCUGGAACAUGAUUCACAGAAGUUUAGGGCUGGAAGGGACCUCAUGAGAUCAUCGGGUCCAGCCCCCCUGCGCUGGGCAGGAAAGAGUGCUGGGAUCAAAUAACCCCAGCAAGGUGUACAUCCAGUCUCCUUUGGAAGAUCUCCAGGGUAGGCGCCUGCAUCAGCCCCCCUGAAAAUCUAUUCCAGAAUCUGGUCACAUGGACUGUGAAGAUGUUUUUCCUUAUAUCCAGUCUGAUAUCUUCAAGGAGUUCAUAACCAUUGCUUCUGGUUUUUCCCUGGGGUGCUUUAGUGAAUAGUUGUUUGCCUAGCCCCUAUUAUGCGUUUAGGCCAAAACAUAAUAUUAAUCUAGUUUUUAAAAACAAGGUCUUUUUUAUAACUACAUUUGUGGUAACUGUCAUUGGAGCCAAGUUCAUUGUUAUAGUUGUCCAAAUAGUAGCUAGAAACAUUUGUUGCCUUCUUUAGUCUGUCAAAAGAUCUAAAUUUAAAAAGGGAAUUAAGUGUAUUUUCUAUACAGAUGACUAAAGAUUUAAGUGUGUGUGUGUGUGUGUGUGUGUGUGUGUGUGUGCGUGUGUGUGUGUAUAUAUAAUUUCACACAAAUUACAUUCAAAGAAUGUUCAGGUUGCGAAAUUUGGUACUCAAAGGUUAGGAAAUUCCCUCAUAGGCAACUUUGAUUAGUCCUUCUUGCUUAUUGUAAUGUGUGUGUUUUUUGUUUUUUGGUUUUUUUUUUGUUCGUUUUCUAUGAGAACCCUCCCUCUUCCAGUCCAUAGAAUGAAUAGUACUCGCUGAAUAAGCUGUUACUCAAUAUUUUGUUUUCCGCUGCUAUGGCCCCUUGUGUCCCUACCUGCAUACUUUUUAAAUCCUUCCUUGAAAGUAGUAUUCAUACAUUUUUCUCAUGGGCUUCUCUAUAAUGCUCAGUACUAUUUAUGCAGCCCUUAGAUACUGUACUAAUCACCUUAUUUGCUCAAUACUUUAAUGAGGUGGUGAUUAUUAUCUCAAUUUUAAAGAUGGAGAACUGUGAUACAGAGAAAUAAAGGCCAAAAGUGUCCACUCAGUUUGGAUACCCAGUUCGAUUAUCGGUCCAUUUAAGCUUGUGAAAAUACUGCAGUGAUGGAUCUUAUCAUAGACCAGUGGUGCUCAACUUCUAGCCUGUAAAGCCACAUCAUCUGGCCUGUGGGUCUUCCCACAGAUCUGGAAAUUUGGCAGCACUGGCAACAUUAAUUGCUGCUCCCCAGCUGCCAAAUUUCCAACCCUGUGAGGAGCCCUGUGGACUAGAUGACAUUGCCCUAUGAGCUAUAUCGUGCUGGUGGAUUGUGGUGGGGGGUCAACAUAUGGGAUCACUGUGCAGCUGGAUCCAGCAUGUGGGACUGGGCUAGAGCACUAGAUUGCAUGCACAGGUGAACCUCAUGCACCAACCCUGUGCUGGGAUUUGCCCUGCAAAUCAACCCCAAACCACUCAUUAAGACCACUGGGCCAGAAGGGUGAGCACUACUGUCAUAGAUAGUACAGUAUUUCUGCAUCCUAGGUCUUAGAAACUCAAAGUUGCCACACACAGGAUGAAGAAUACUUAACAAAUGGCUUGAGCAUUUUUGAUGUAGGUGAGUUCCUUAAUAUUUCAUUGGGCUAUUUUGGCAGAAGGAGGAAUAAACUCCAGUUAUUCAGGAAGUAUUCAGCUGCCUUAAUCAUUUUUGAUUAAGCAAGGAUUUUUGUUAAUAUCUUUUAUUGGAUCAAUGAAUAGUUGGGAAGAGAUGUUACAACCUGCUUUUUAGGCUCUCCCCAAGUUCUGGGAACCAUGAGACUAUCCUUUCUCUUCAGGUAGUUCCUAGGUCGUUUUUUACUCUAGAACAAAUAAGGCAUCAAUCUUAAAGAAAAGUCUUCUUUUUGUAGACAACCCCGAUUUCAUCAUGGUUGAAUCCCUGAUGAGACAACAGUUCAUCCUUUGUACUUCUCUCUCCCUCAUCUUUACGAGUCCUUUUCCAAGUCUAGUCCUUCUAUGAACAUUCCCAGAAGUACAUCUCUUCUCCUCCCCCCCCCUCUAGUCAGACAUCCCUCCUCUCUGCCUAGGUACGAGAAAGAGGAUUAAUUAUAGUGAAGGAGUUUUCCUGCUCCAAAUGUCGAUGCCUAGCACCACCUCAGGUAGGAGUAGCUAUUGCAAUGGAAUUCCUAUUUAGACUCCAGCUUUCCAGCCUGGAGCCUGCUCAGUGUGGAUAAAUUUUCAGUUUUAGUGCCAAAAAAAAUUCUUUGCUGAGUAUGUGCAGUGAUGCUUCAGAAGCUUAUGCUUGGUCAGAUUUGUUUCUAUGGAAAAGCUGUCCAAAAGGAAAACUGCUGAUGCAAAAUCAACAUCCUGCCAAAUUCCAAGGCCAGAACAUGGGGGUACUAGAACUUUUCAGUGACUUUUUUUUUUUUUUUUCAUGUGAGCACAACUAUAUAUUUUUUCCCUAAUCUUGAUCUUCAGAACAAUAGAGCUACUUUUACUGAAACUAUCUCAAACAAAUCAGCCUGAGGCAGACACCUGGUAUGAAAAAUUUCAGCCCAAAGUGUUAGUUUGGCAAAGUCAUAAGCAACUUAAUACUGGUUCUCAGAAUGGGAUAUCUUGCGACUUGAAGUGCUACCAUGACUUAAUCCUGAAAACACUUACACAUUUGAGUUGCUGUUCAUGUGAAUAAUUAAACUUAAUCCCAAACUAAUCAUUUGUGUUCUACAGAUUUUAGAAGCCAACUUUUUUUUUUUUUUCUUUAUGUAAGGACUUCAUAGGUGUAUGAAAAAUGAAUUCGUUUUCUUGGUGGUUUUGUAUGCAAGAUGCUAAAAUAGUAAAUACAGGCUGUUUAUCUGUUUAUUUAACAACAUUUAAGUAGACUUCCCUGAUCAUAGCACAAGAGCACCUUGAAUUAUUUUUUUCUAACUUUGAACCCAGUUCUGAAAGGUGUUGUAGGAACUGUUUAAGAAAUACUAUUUCCUGAGAUACUCAGGGUAUGGACAGGCAUUCAGUAUAAAACUAGAGGCAUGGAGGCAUUGUAAGCUGGAGGGCUACCAAGUUUUUUCUUGGAGGCAGUCUCUCUAGCCAGGAAAUGAUAGAGAUGGAUACUCCUUGGGUACCCUCACCCCAAGAGGAUCUAGAUUAAUGACGGUCUGCUAGGGAAGGUUGUCUAUAAUGUGCUGGCAGAGCCCCCAGCUUCCCAGCUCUGCUAGCCCAGGCAGGGGACACAGCUGCCUGGUUCUACUGAUCACCCACUCUGGUUAGUAGAAGACGGAUUGGAUCUCUGUUGGCUACAGACUGAGACAGAAUCACAGUGGCCUAGCUGAUCGGUGGAACUGGGCAGGGGCAUAACUGUCAUUGCAGCAGCAGGGUCAUCACUGGGUGGGCUAGCAGGGAGCCAGCCACUCUCCACUGAAGUGGGAAAGUGGGGACUCUUGAGAUGCUAGGGGGUUCUGGAACCCCCCCAUAGUGCUAUACAUAACUGUGCAGGUGUUAUACACAGCACUACAAAUGCCAAUGUCUUUUUAGUACUACAUCUUGAACAGCUGUACGCUUAAUUGUUGUAGUGCUAUGAGGGCAUAUAUGGUGCUAACACUUGUCAGUGGCCUAAGUUAGUCAAGAUCUCCAUGGGUGUAUAAAGCAGCUCUCUGAGAUGGCCAAGGAAUAAACCUCUCAUUACAGUAGAUGCAAUGAUGAUCCAGGUUUGUGCUUCUUGUGUAGAGCUGGACAAGGUGCUGCCACUUCUCCAACCACCAAGUCAGAUGAGUCCCAUGACCCAUUUUUCUUGCUUAUAGAGGGGUUUAUAGAGGGAAAGAGGCUGGUUCAAACCUGUGGAGGAUGCCAAGGAGCCAGAGCCUCAACCUGGUAAGUGCUGCCUUCCAUUUGUAUUAUUUUAAUAAUGCUUUGUAAAAGAGACAUCUUGUAUGGAUGGCCAGUCAGCUUUCUUUUUGCAUUUUAGUAAAUUAUGGAGUAUUUGGAUGGCUCUUUCAAAACUAUGGUCUUUUUCUUCCUGCUGAAGCGUUAUUGCUGGGUCAAAGCGUUUUUCAGGGUGGAGAGGCAAGUGUCACGAGCAUUCUCCUUGGAGCUGAUGGGUGGUAUUUGAGGGCCUGAGUAUAUAAUUUACACCUUUCUUGGUGUUUGGGAUGACUACUGUUUUUUAUUUUUUGUUUGUGAGUAUGGUGGUCUUCAGUAACCUGCAACGCAAACCCCCACUGACUCACCCCUGGUUGUCAUGUGCCAUCCCACCCUGAAACUGAUAAGGAUCCUCAAUUAUAGCCUACAGUUGAAAAAGAUCAGAACUUGAGAGAAAUAUUCCCAGCUUUCCUGCUUUCAAGCAACCUGUGAACCUGGCCCAACUCAUGGUCAGAAGCAACUCCCAGUUGAUCUACUUGUAUCUAAUGGAACAUUCAUGCCUUGAAGAAAUUUAAAACCUGUCAAUUCAUCUCAACUGCUACCAUACUAAACACUCCCCACAACCAUCAGGAUCCAUGGAUCCUACGCAUGGCUGUCCCAGAAUGUGGUAUAUCUCAUCCAGCAUACCAAAUGCCCUCAUUGAAACUAUGUGGGUGAAACUAGGCAAAAACAACACUGCAGAAUGAACAAAUUCAGGAAAAAGUUAAAGGACGGAGACACGUAGACACAGAUAGGAGAGCAUGUUUCGUAAAACAACUGCUUUCUCACCUUGCAAUUCUCAUGCUCAAAUGAAGUUUACAAAACGCCUUCAGAAGAUGGGCCUGAGACCUAACGUUCCUAAUUUGUUUUACCGGACAUCAAAACCAGGGAUUAAAUAUAGACACUGACUUCAUGGCUUAUCAAAAUCUACCUUCAACUCUGCACUCUACAACCUUCUUCCCCCCUGAAGGAUCUUGCUCUUUCACUUACCAGUUUAUCCUUCCUAGUGCCAUUCUCUUGUCUUUUCCCUAACCACGAUAAUAUCUCCGCUCUUUUUAUAGCUCUGCUCUAUUCCUUUAGGCAGGCUGUUUUAUUUACAUAUAGAGAUUUUUCACAGGUUAUUGCCCUACUUGUUACUUAGAAGCAGACACAGCUUGAGCUUUCUCAGAUGUAAAGCAGAGUACUUUGUGUUCAAAAACUUGUCUGAAAUCUCUCCCAGCCAUCCAGUAAAAGAUACUGUAUUUAUUUGAUUCCAAGAUAAGGUUUUAAUAUGCAGGAAAAAAAAACUCCUCCUCUUCAAUUGAUUAUGAGGUGGCAACUGCUAUGGCUCUGGCCCCAACCCUGGGGCACCCCACAGCUGCCUUGGGCCCUGCCCCCCCAUCUCCUUUCCCAGACCCAUCUUCCUCAUACCAUCUGUGCAUUCCAGCAUCCUCAGGCCCCUUCUGCCCCACCCCUCACCUUUUGUUUUCCAUUUAUCUUUGCUCCAGUGCUGGCUGGCUCUUUCUGCUUCGGCCAGGCCCUGUAGCAGCAGUGUAGGCUCCCUGCCACUGCUAUGGGGCCAGACUAGAGCUGUAGCCCUGUGCCUCGGGCUGAAGCAGGGAUGGAAUCUGCUGCUGUUGGAGUAAGGGCACUACAAGAUCCGAGUACCUAGCCACACCUAUCUUCAGCACGUAGAUGAUGAUGUAGUAAUGGGUUAAAAGGAAGCAUGUCAUGGAUGACGUAUCCAAAAUGUAAAGCAGAGGAAUGAAAUGCUCUGAACCAUUGUGUAAAUAGGCUGAGUAAGAGCAGGAUCAGAAAAAGUACUUGGCAUAGGGGGAGCAGAAUCUUUGGAGAGAGGUUAUGAAGAAGGCAGUACUUCAUACAAUAGAACUUCAACAAUAUUUAUGAUGGUGUUGAAUAAGUGCAAAUGCCCACACUCAAGAGAGUUCCUAUAAAGUUUGGUGCUCAUGCUAACUAUGCUCACAGGGUAAGCUUAUGCUGUUGGACAGACCCUGCUACUGGUGAUGGCACUAAUACAGAUGCAAGCAUAAGCACGUUUUGUUUGUUUGUUUGUUUGUUUGUUUUGUUUUUUUUCCCCCCACACCAGUGCCUCUUCAAAUUCUCCAUAAGGUGCUGGGACUGCUUCAUGACAUUGUUCUUCUGGUGUCUUCUUAUACAUGAAGUUGACCAGCAGAUAGCAUAAUAAGUUAAAAAGGUGGUCUCUUAGGACUGGAACCAAGCAAUCCCGUCUCAUUUUACAUGCACAAAAAGGUAUAGAAGUGAGUAAAGAGGAUGGGUUGUCUGUUGUUGUGUGUGUUGUUUUUUUUUUUUGUUUUGUUUUUUUGGUUUUUUUUUAAGUGUAGGGGGGAAAAUUGUUAAUUUGUUUAUGCAUAUUGUUCUGCAAUAUUUAAAUAGAAUUUGUUUGCUGUUGAUAGGCAGCCAUACUUGUUAAGUUAUUAAUUAUUCAUGUUUGUGACUUUUUAAUAAAGUUCACUGUUGUUUGAAAUGCC